This 1308-nucleotide long non-coding RNA is filed under the name Coturnix japonica (Japanese quail). Its description in RNAcentral is "lncRNA (ENSCJPG00005004872.1)". Lineage: Eukaryota; Metazoa; Chordata; Aves; Galliformes; Phasianidae. The record is from RNAcentral.
UGUAGCAGAAAGCCUUGCGUGUUAUUUAGGUCACCAGUCCUAUAAAGGAAGCAAAAAAACAAACAAUCGAGGUGCACAAAGGAAUAUUUAUGGAAAUAUUUCAUGUAACUUUUGAGGAAACAUGGCCAUUUCAGGAUAAUUCACUGUGGUUUGCAGACGGUUUGGAAAGGCUGGGCUUGACACAUCCAUGACAGUAGCUCAGCUCAUUCUGUGACCAGCCCUCCGAUGAUAUCAGACAUUUUUUACAGAGGCAGAAAAUGUGUCACGGAGAAUUUAAGUGGGUUGCCUGAAUCUGAUCUGCUUAGCAUGGGACUUUUAUCAUAAAGAGCAUGCUUGGAUCAUUACAGCCCUUGGUAAAAUCUGAGCGAGGCAAACGGGGUCUGAGUGCUUGCACCUUGCUGAUGGCUACCUUGGAUUUGGAUGAAGAGGCAGGACGGGAAUGACCCAAGAGAGAAGGCAGAUAGAAAGCACAUAGUCCUCUCCUACUUUGUGUGUGCUUCUAUACUGAUAUGGGUUUUGAAACAUAUCUUCUCACUGCUCUGCUACAGUGAGAAGUCCCCCAGUCCUCUUCCAACUGAGCCUAUGAGGAGUGAGUGAAAUCGGUGAUUUUUUAAUUAUUUUUUAAACUUCUUUUUUUGUUUGGUGAAACCACAGGGAGUGACAUUAGGAGACAUUUUAUGUUCAAACAUGAGGAAACCAACGUUCAGAGAAUUCCCCAGGUCUACUGAGCUCAAGGUUUUAUCACAGUCGGCCUUCACAGAACACCCCAGACUAGGUCCCGGCCUUUGGGCCCUCUGCCACCCCCGCGGUGUCAUGGGGGCCGCUUCUCGUCAUCCUCCCUAGGGAUCCUGUUUCCUGUUGCUAUGAGUGCGUUAUCAGAAGGACCAAAGAUAACACGGAAGUAAACAAAGGAAUGUGAAAAAGAACAGCUAUUGCACAAAUGUCUUCUUCAUGUGGGGUUUAGCUGAUACAUGGCAAGUUAGCAGCUUCCUCACACUUCCUGCCAAGCCAAUCCAAACCCGAGAACAUCCGGUGGGCCUCAUGCCUCAGGCUUUCACAACAUGGCUGCUGGCUUCAGUUCCACUGAGAUGUGAGGUGGUACUUCUGAGUGACCAGUUUAUCCUGAACUCCCAUGAGAUUGUGAGCUUUGUUGCAAGACAGGUAAGACACAGGAGGAAACUGUGUGGGUCCCAUAAUGAGUGUAGUGCACGGAGUUUCUUAAGAUUAGAGUUACAGUGCAUGGAGUUUCUUAAGAUCAGAGUUACACUGUGGAAAUUCCAGCACCAUUACAGCCUGUGUUUUGAAUGA